RNAcentral lists this ribosomal RNA (497 nucleotides) under uncultured bacterium. Its description in RNAcentral is "partial 16S ribosomal RNA". It matches the Rfam family "Bacterial small subunit ribosomal RNA", at positions 28 to 507 of the family's 1533-position model. The record is from RNAcentral.
GAUGAACGCUGGCGGCGUGCCUAAUACAUGCAAGUCGAGCGAACGGACGAGAAGCUUGCUUCUCUGCUGUUAGCGGCGGACGGGUGAGUAACACGUGGAUAACCUACCUAUAAGACUGGGAUAACUUCGGGAAACCGGAGCUACUACCGGCUAAUAUUUUGAACCGCAUGGUUCAAAAGUGAAAGACGGUCUUGCUGUCACUUAUAGCUGGAUCCGCGCUGCAUUAGCUAGUUGGUAAGGUAACGGCUUACCAAGGCAACGAUGCAUAGCCGACCUGAGAGGGUGAUCGGCCACACUGGAACUGAGACACGGUCCAGACUCCUACGGGAGGCAGCAGUAGGGAAUCUUCCGCAAUGGGCGAAAGCCUGACGGAGCAACGCCGCGUGAGUGAUGAAGGUCUUCGGGUCGUAAAACUCUGUUAUUAGGGAAGAACAGAUGUGGAAGAAACUGUGCACAUCUCGACGGUACCUAAUCAGAAAGCCACGGCUAACUACGUG